This 505-nucleotide ribosomal RNA is filed under the name uncultured bacterium. RNAcentral describes it as "partial 16S ribosomal RNA". It matches the Rfam family "Bacterial small subunit ribosomal RNA", at positions 28 to 507 of the family's 1533-position model. The record is from RNAcentral.
GACGAACGCUGGCGGCGUGCCUAAUACAUGCAAGUAGAACGCACAGUUUAUACCGUAGCUUGCUACACCAUAGACUGUGAGUUGCGAACGGGUGAGUAACGCGUAGGUAACCUGCCUGGUAGCGGGGGAUAACUAUUGGAAACGAUAGCUAAUACCGCAUAAUAUUGAUUAUUGCAUGAUAAUUGAUUGAAAGAUGCUAUUGCAUCACUACCAGAUGGACCUGCGUUGUAUUAGCUAGUAGGUGAGGUAACGGCUCACCUAGGCGACGAUACAUAGCCGACCCUGGAAGGGUGAUGGGCCACACUGGACCUGGACCACGGCCCAAACUCCUCCGGGGGGCACAAGUGGGGAAUCUUCGGCAAUGAAGGAAGGUCUACCGGGGAAACGCCGCGGAGGUAAGGAGGGUUUUCGGUCGUAAAGCUCUGUUGUAAGAGAAGAACGGGUGUGAGAGUGGAAAGUUCACACUGUGACGGUAUCUGACCAGAAAGGGACGGCUAACUACGUG